Molecule: long non-coding RNA, 2125 nt
Filed under: Nicotiana benthamiana
Lineage: Eukaryota; Viridiplantae; Streptophyta; Magnoliopsida; Solanales; Solanaceae
Description: long non-coding RNA (NBEN_LNC020469)
Source: RNAcentral
ACUUCAAAAAAGCGUGCCCUUCUUUGCGCUUUGUGCUUUGAAGCGAGGCGAGCCCUUGUCGCUUAUUUGCGCUUUGCGCUCUCCAAAACACUGCUCCUAGCAAAACUUUACUCCGCUAAUGCUGCCACAUCCAAUCAUGUGCAAUCAGGUACUGCCUUUGCUGUUCACCUUAAUUCUUGGAUUGUUGAUUCUAAUGCAAAUAGACACAUGACAGGCUCUUCUAAAAGCAUUCAAAACUAUUCUUCGAUUCCCAAAGCAGAUAAUGUUAAAAUAGUCAAUGCUUCUUUAACACCUAUCUCCGAAACAAGUUUUGUCGUUUGUACUCAUAAUAUAAAACGAUCAUAUGUUCUCCGUGUCCCCGAGUUCCUUGUCAAUCUUUUAUCUGUUAGUGCCAUCCCCAAAGCUCUAAAUUGUAAAAUCGAGUUCUUUCCCGAUCAUUAUAUUUUUCAGGAUCUUGAAACAGGGGAAAAGGAUUGGCAGUGGUAGAUUGCGUGAUGACUUGUAUAUAUUAGAUGGAAUUCAAAACUCUAGUCAAGCCUAUUUUGGGGAAAGCAAGGAUGUCAACCAAGAAAUAAUACUGUGGCAUUGACAAUGAGGACACCCAUCGUUCUUUGUUUUGAAGAAGUUAUAUCCCAAUUUGUUUUCAAGGACUCGAUUUGAAUCUUUGUUUUGUGAUGGGUGUGAAUAUUGCAAGCACACUAUAAACUCUUAUCUUGUGAGUGAUAAUAGAAGCACAACUCCGUUUAUGACUAUUCAUUCUAAUGUAUAGGGUCCUACCCAAAUUGUUUCUUUAUGUGGUAGUCGAUGGUUUGUUACUUUCAUUGAUUGCUGCACUAGAUGACUUGGGUAUAUUUGUUAAAAGCCAAAAGUGAAGUUUUCUCUCGUUUUCGCUCAUUUUAUAAGAUGAUGUGUACUCGUAUUGAUGCCAAAAUAAAAAUCUUGAGAAAUGACAAUGGCAGUGAAUACAUGGAUAAAAGAUUUGGUGCUUCUUUGGAGUCCAAUGGGAUAGUCCAUCAGAGUAGUUGUUCUUACACUAGUGCACAAAAUGGGGUCGCUGAAAGAAAAAAUAGGAAUCUGUUAGAAGUAGCAAGAUCUCUUAUGUUCACCAUGCAUCUACCAAAACCUUAUUGGGGAUGCUAUUCUAGCGGCUGCCUAUCUUAUCAACAAAAUGCCACUUAAACCCCUCAAGCUAUGGACCUCUUGAUGAAAUUGUCACAUGGGUAAACGAAAUUGGAGAAAAGAUUUCAAUGGGAGACUAUUGGGCGUUUGGAUAGGCCUGAUUUGAAAACUUACUCAAGGAGAACUAGAGUAGAACAAGCCAUCAUGCAAUCUAUCGAAGCUGAACCUUCUUCUACUGGUGAGUUAUCUACAUUUCCUAAUGAGUUAGAUGUGCCUAUUGCUCACAGAAAAGCACCCAGAUCUUGCACCACCAAACACCCUUUAUCUAAUUUUGUCAACUAUAAUUCUUUGUCUCCCUCCUAUAGAGCCUUUGCCUUGUCUAUUACUUCUGUGUAUAUUCCUAAGAAUUGGAGGGAAGCUUAGGCAGAUCAUAGAUGGAAGCAAGCUAUGAUUGAAGAAAUGAAGGCCUUGUCAAAAAGAGAGAUUUGGGAACUUGUCACUUCACCAACAAACAAAAAGUUGGUUGGCUGCGAAUGGGUCUUCACUGUAAAGCACAAAGCGGAUGGCUCAAUUGAAAGAUUCAAAGCAAAAUUGGUAGCUAAGAGAUUCACUCAGAUCUAUGGAGUGGAUUAUCAAGAGAAAUUUGCCCAUGUUGCUAAGAUGAACAUUAUUAGAAUUUUUUUGUCUUGUGCAGCUAAUCUUGAUCGGGACUUGCAACAGUUUGACGUAAAGAAUGCAUUUCUUCAUGAAGACUUAGAAGUAUGGAGUUUCCUCCUGAAUUUGAUAAUGCAUAGAGUCAAGGAAAGGUAUGCAGAUUGAAGAAAAUCUUGUACGGAGGGAAGCAAUCCCCCAGAGCUUAGUUUGACAGAUUUAGCAAAGCAAUGAUCUCCUUCGGUUACCGACAAAGUAAUGUUGAUCCCACCCUCUUCAUAAGACAUCAACAACAACAACAACAACAACAACAACAACAACAAGAACCCAGUAUAAUCCCACUUAGUGGGGUCUG